GACGAACGCUGGCGGCGCGCCUAACACACGCAAGUCGAACGGGAUCUAUUGGAGCUUGCUCUGGCAGAUCUAGUGGCGGACGGGUGAGUAACACGUGAGCAACCUGCCCUUAAGAGGGGGAUAACGUCUGGAAACGGACGCUAAUACCGCAUAACAUACCGAAGUGGCAUCGUUUUGGUAUCAAAGGAGAAAUCCGCUUAAGGAUGGGCUCGCGCCCGAUUAGAUAGUUGGCGGGGUAACGGCCCACCAAGUCGACGAUCGGUAGCCGGACUGAGAGGUUGAUCGGCCACAUUGGGACUGAGACACGGCCCAGACUCCUACGGGAGGCAGCAGUGGGGAAUAUUGCGCAAUGGGGGAAACCCUGACGCAGCAACGCCGCGUGAUUGAAGAAGGCCUUCGGGUUGUAAAGAUCUUUAAUCAGGGACGAAGGAAGUGACGGUACCUGAAGAAUAAGCUCCGGCUAACUACGUGCCAGCAGCCGCAGUAACAC
This 490-nucleotide ribosomal RNA is filed under the name uncultured bacterium. Its description in RNAcentral is "bacterial SSU rRNA". It matches the Rfam family "Bacterial small subunit ribosomal RNA", at positions 28 to 526 of the family's 1533-position model. The record is from RNAcentral.